Molecule: ribosomal RNA, 509 nt
Filed under: uncultured bacterium
Lineage: Bacteria
Description: bacterial SSU rRNA
Rfam family: Bacterial small subunit ribosomal RNA
Source: RNAcentral
GAGUUUGAUCCUGGCUCAGGAUGAACGCUGGCGGCGUGCUUAACACAUGCAAGUCGAGCGGAGGUUUAAAGCGGAAGUUUUCGGAUGAAAGCAGUAAACCUUAGCGGCGGACGGGUGAGUAACGCGUGGGUAACCUGCCUCAUACAGGGGGAUAACAGUUAGAAAUGACUGCUAAAACCGCAUAAGCGCACAUUGUCGAGUGACAGAGUGUGAAAAACUCCGGUGGUAUGUGAUGGACCCGCGUCUGAUUAGCUAGUUGGUGAGGUAACGGCCCACCAAGGCGACGAUCAGUAGCCGGCCUGAGAGGGCGACCGGCCACAUUGGGACUGAGACACGGCCCAAACUCCUACGGGAGGCAGCAGUGGGGAAUAUUGCACAAUGGGGGAAACCCUGAUGCAGCGACGCCGCGUGAGUGAAGAAGUAUUUCGGUAUGUAAAGCUCUAUCAGCAGGGAAGAAGAAAGACGGUACCUGACUAAGAAGCCCCGGCUAACUACGUGCCAGCAGCCGC